AUUCAAUAUAAAAAUUAAUUUGGUUCAUUGUAGAAAGUGGUUUAGCCUAUUUCUCUUUUUGAAAGAGUCUCUCUUCAAAAGGACUCUUCCCUCCCUCUCUUGCGCCAACUUCUCCCAUGUUCAUCCUCCUUUUUGUUGCCUCUUUUGUGAUUAUUUUCAUGCUAUUCAUAAAAUAAAUGAGAUAAGGGGCAUCCAAAAAUAAAUGAGAUAAGGGGCGUCCAAGAGUCGGACACCCCAAGGACUCCUUGUUAGACUAGGUCUUAUGACCUAA
RNAcentral lists this long non-coding RNA (271 nucleotides) under Elaeis guineensis (African oil palm). RNAcentral describes it as "long non-coding RNA (EGUI_LNC081418)". Lineage: Eukaryota; Viridiplantae; Streptophyta; Magnoliopsida; Arecales; Arecaceae. The record is from RNAcentral.